RNAcentral lists this ribosomal RNA (433 nucleotides) under uncultured bacterium. Its description in RNAcentral is "partial 16S ribosomal RNA". It matches the Rfam family "Bacterial small subunit ribosomal RNA", at positions 29 to 507 of the family's 1533-position model. The record is from RNAcentral.
AACGAACGCUGGCGGCAGGCCUAACACAUGCAAGUCGAGCGAGGACUUCGGUCCUAGCGGCGGACGGGUGAGUAACGCGUGGGAACGUGCCCUUUGCUUCGGAAUAGCCCUGGGAAACUGGGAGUAAUACCGGAUGAGCCCUUUGGGGGAAAGAUUUAUCGGCGAAGGAUCGGCCCGCGUUGGAUUAGGUUGUUGGUGGGGUAAUGGCAUACCAAGCCGACUAUCCAUAGCUGGUUUGAGAGGAUGAUCAGCCACACUGGGACUGAGACACGGCCCAGACUACUACGGGAGGCAGCAGUGGGGAAUCUUAGAAAAUGGGGGAAACCCUGAUCUAGCCAUGCCGCGUGAGCGAUGAAGGCCUUAGGGUUGUAAAGCUCUUUCAGAUGGGAAGAUAAUGACGGUACCAGCAGAAGAAGCCCCGGCUAACUCCGUG